CUACAUCUGAAUUGUUGUUUGGUGUAGAGAAAAAAAAAAAUCCUCCAGAUACCUAUUCACAUUCAUCUUCCUCACCUAAUCAAGCCAUAAACCACCUAGCUCAUUCAAUUUCAGUGAACCAAGAAAUCUCUUCAUUGAAAGGCAACGCUACAAUGAUGUUAUUCGUUUCAGUAUAACACUCCGUCACAAGGUAUGUCUCAAUCUCUCUGUGCUUAGAUUAUACUCCAUUUGAUUUGAUAUUUCCUUAAAUAUAUAAUUUCUUUUUUGUCUUUUCACUCUAACCCCCAUCUUAAUUCAUUUGAUUUUUGGUGUUAAUGAUUUAUUGUGAUUUCUGAUUCUUUUAAGCUCUUGGUAGCAAAUCUCUCCUCUUACUCUCCAUCAAAGUAGGCUUUGUUCGAUUUCUUAUUUCUGUAAAAAUUGGUCUGCCCACUUAUCUAUAUAAUUAAAUGCAGAAUUAUUAAUCAUUCGUGGCUUUUUCUUAUAUCUAUUCUCUUAAACUAUAGGAAUACGAUUACAUUAUUAAUUCCAUCAUGAUACUCGAUUCUAUUUUAUUUAUUAGUCUAUUAUGAUACUCAUUCACUAUUCUAUUCCAACAAUAAUAAUAAAAAGAACUUUAUUCCAUUAUAAUUCAUGAUCACCGAAUCUAUGGUUGUGAUUCUCAAUCCAAUUUCAACUAAAUAAUGAUUAAUUCAACCAAGCUCAACCGAUUUUCCAUUCCAGUUCAAAAAAUUCACGAUCUAAUCAAUCUAGUUCCAACUAUGACCUAGUAACAAACUUAUGUUUGUUUCAAUUCUUUAACACCAAAUUCAAUACUAAGAUUUAAGUUGAUGAACAAUUGCCAUAUGUAAACUUUGCCCAAUUAUAUUUCAAUUCUUAGUGUUAGUUUAACGUUAAUUAAAUUCUAUUCUAUAGGUCAUAUAUUAUACAUAUAACCGUAAGUUUUACCGGUAAACUCCUAAAAAACUCCUUAACAAUCCUUUCCCAUCCCCUUCUUUACAAAUACCCAAAAAUGAUUCUUUUAAAAAAAUUGAUUAAAUUAUGAAAUCAAAUUAACCAACCUAAUCGAUUGAAUCAGUUUUAAACCAAAAAAAAAAAAAAACCAAGCUCCGAUGAUUGGAUCUUCCACCUGCCUUUCUUUUAACCAUGACAGAGAACAUUUAAAUUACUGAAAAUUAUGACAUUGAUUUUUUUUUAAAAUUUUAGCUUAUUCUAAUACAAAGCAUACAAAGAUAAAAUUAAACAGUGAUAACGUUCAUCCAUAAUUGCACGACCAACACUGACCUCAAACAAAUCCCCCACUCUAGUAAUGAAAAACACGUCAUGGUGUUUUUCUAGUACGACAGAUAAGGGUGAAAGUACAAUCAUCUCCUUGGUUUAUUAUUAUGACAAGCUAUCAUCAAUUCCUUAAAAUGUUCAAUGUUUUUCAUCAGAUUGAAAUUGGGUCUCAUAAAAUUUACUAACCUUAGAACAGGGGCAAGCUUGGUGGGAACCGCACAUGC
RNAcentral lists this long non-coding RNA (1499 nucleotides) under Gossypium raimondii (Peruvian cotton). RNAcentral describes it as "long non-coding RNA (GRAI_LNC005058)". Lineage: Eukaryota; Viridiplantae; Streptophyta; Magnoliopsida; Malvales; Malvaceae. The record is from RNAcentral.